This is a long non-coding RNA of Acromyrmex echinatior (Panamanian leafcutter ant), 2750 nucleotides long. NCBI's taxonomy places the organism in Eukaryota, Metazoa, Arthropoda, Insecta, Hymenoptera, Formicidae. The record is from RefSeq and is a predicted model, not a curated record.
UUUUUAAAAUUAUAAUGCAUUUUUUGUUUAUUAAAUUGUGAAUUAAUUCUAAAAUUUUAUGUAUCAAGUGUAACUUACCAAGGCUCAAUAUUGAUGAAUUUUUUCUCACAUAUUUCUAAUAUGCUUUAUACUGUUUAGGAUCAAGGUAAACGAAGACAAAGGAUCUCUUAUUGUAAGCCAUUGUGAUUUUUAAUCUUAUAUGAAAUAUAUUUGUAAGUAAAACUGUGAUACAAUUUAGAUAAGAAGAUGAAGUGAGGAGUAUUGAAAGGAGUGUAAGAUAAAUAAAUACAUUUUUGCAAGUAACAAUGUAGAACUAUUCUUCUUCAACUUUUCUAUUCACUAACUUAUUAAUACCAUCAAUUCUUUUCAGUCUGGCACAUAGACAUCAUAGAAAAUUCACCUUAUCGCGAAUGAAGCUGUCAAUAUAUGGACGAUGUCGUCGUUAUCGUUGGCUUAAGAAACCUAUAAGAUUGCGGCAAGCGAAAAAAAACCCUAAGGAAGUAUAUCUGUCUUGAGUGAGUGGGAAGAAAAAAAAUUUAUGUUUCUAGAGGCUGGUUGACUUGGCGCACAAAUUAUCUUUUGCACGAAUCGUCAUGAUACCGAGCUCGUCUCUGCGUGAUGACUACAACGAUGAGAAAUGAAGUUUUAUGCAAUGAACUUCCAUUCCCCCGAUCGAUCGUUUCCCCAGAUCCAGACUAAAUUCAUUUUCGUUGAAUCACAUAGGCUAAUGAUGAAGAGAACCGUUAUCUUAAGGUCGCAGGUAUACUUCAAGUAAGGUAAUUCGGCAUGCGAAUAACCUAUUAGAGUUAUCGGAAGUUUUUCCUGUUUGUAAAGUUUCCAUGUUUAUGCUUGUUCUACGUUGCCCUAAUAAUGUGUUCAUAGAUCUGCACAACCUUCGGUCAUGCCGAGACCAGGAUAGGACGUUAACGUGUAUGUUUUAGAUGUUCAGAAAAUAUGAGAGACAUUUGGAGGAUAUAUACCGGUGACUUAGCAAGUGAAGGAAAAAUUGUCUAUGUAAAGAGUAUAUGCGCAAGAAUUAUAUAUUAUGUGUAAGAAGUGGUGGAAAUGUUAGGUUUUCUUGGUAACGUUGGUUUCAAUUGAAGUAGGAAUUGAAUUUUAUUUCAUUUCUCUUAGUCAUUUUGCAUCUUAAUAUCUUUUUGUAAACAUAAUUUAUGUCAAUUGUAAAAAAAUCUGAAGAUCCGAAGAUCUAAGAACUUGAAGACUGACUAUCCUGGAAUUAGGAGGAAUCCAUGUAUACGUCUGGGAAUCUUUACUAGCCAAAGCUUUCGAAGUCGAUGUUUAGAGAAUUGAAAAAAAAUCUUGAUAUCUUCAUCGAAAUCCCAAUCUUAGCCGACCAGUUUAAGGAUUUAAAUCUGUACCAGCAAUGAAUCGAGGCGCACUAUGAAAAAAAUCAUACAUAAAAUAAGAGCACAAUGAAAAAAUAUUUUUAUUUAAAAGAGCACAAACAAUACAACACAAAUAGCAAGAGUGGUAAAUCAACACCAAUUGAAAGGAAUUUUCUAUUACGGUAAAACCUGGCUAAGUAAAAUUUAUAUCUAUAUAUUUGAAUUUUUGAUCAAAUUGUUUAUCUGGUAAUUUAAGGCGUAUUAUAUGGUAAAUUAUUUUAGUUCAGUACUCUUAUAUAAUUAAGUAUUUACAUGGUAACAAAGUAUUGAACUUUUUUCUCGGUAAUAUUCCUGAUAGCAAGCUGACGUCCUUUUGUCGUCAAAGUGAUAACAAAAUGACGUAGCUUUGUUAUCAGAGAUAAUUUUAUAUUGGAAUGUUUUUUGUGGAGAUAAAUAAAGAGAUAUAAGAUGAGGGGUCGGGGGGGGAGGUGCAAAUGAGAAACCUUUUUGAUUGACAGACAGCUGCGUGUGUUUGGAAGAUUUCUCAUCCUAUUCGACCGAUGAACUGUGAAGAACUGUGAUUAAAUGUCUCGAGAUUGGCAUCAAAAUAUAAAAUGCAAUCUAUUGAACGUGACGAUAUCGUGAAGAUUUGAUGGACGACUUAAGAUAAUGAAAAUGAGACAGGCUGCAGAACGAAAGAACUAGAUCUAAACCUUUCAUAGAUUAGAUAAACGCCCCCGAUCGUCAUUAUCUGCACAGUUCUAAUUCGACAGCCUGUCGACGAUACAAUUGAUCAUCAUCAGGAGAUAUCACUGGAUUUGUAUGAUUAAGGUAACAAGAGACGGAAGAUCGUUAUUGAUCUUUGAUUCUUGUACUUUGUGCCUUGUGUAUACAGAUAUAGAUGGGGGGAGGGGGAGGGGGAGGGGAAAAAAAACAAUGUUUUUAUGAGUCACAGGGAAGAUGCUGUUUUGCACAAUGGUAAUGAAGAAAAAUGUACUUGGAGGAUAUUUCAAGAUGGCACAAGAUUACCAGAUAUAUAAUUAUCGAUAUCAUAUGAUAUGAUCAUAUUCUGCUGAUGUCUUUCGAUUACUUUGGCAAAAUGUAAUUUCAUCUGAAUCCGCACAAAGCAAGUUUGCACGAGAUUUCUGCAAGGAUGUGUCGAGCAUACGGACCAUAUGAAUUUGCAAAUCUUGGGAUGAAAUAAAUUUAAACAUCUAAUUAUAACACAAAAGGCUAAAGAUAAUAGACUUCAGUAAUUUAACAAUUUCAGAAUUUGAAGCUCACACGGAUCAUCAAGGAUCUAUAAAUAUUUAAAAGUCUAAAAAGCCAAAGAGUUUUAGAUAAUGCUUUUCAAAUCACUUUGUUUUCAUCAUUAAUUUAAUUAUAAUGGAAUUAUUUUUGCAA